CAAGGUAGGAGAGUUCCUUAUGGCAUGUAGGCACAUGAUGGGAUGCCGGUAACGUAUCACACUGGUGAGGAAUGUCUGCCAUGCUUUCUCCUCCAACCAAGUCCAAAGGGAUCCUUAUCAUUUGCGGAUGUGACUGUGGGCUUUACCCAGGAGGAGUGGCAGCACCUGGACCCUGCUCAGAGGACCCUGUACAGGGAGGUGAUGCUGGAGAACUAUAGCCACCUUGUCUCAGUGGGGUGUUGCAUCCCUAAACCAGACGUGAUCCUGAAGUUGGAGCAAGGAGAGCAGCCAUGGAUGCUAGAGGAAGAGUCCCCACGUCAGAGCU
Neogale vison (American mink) is the source of this 325-nucleotide long non-coding RNA. RefSeq lists it as uncharacterized. The transcript is spliced from 3 exons. The record is from RefSeq and is a predicted model, not a curated record. NCBI's taxonomy places the organism in Eukaryota, Metazoa, Chordata, Mammalia, Carnivora, Mustelidae.